RNAcentral lists this non-coding RNA (178 nucleotides) under Vibrio mangrovi. Its description in RNAcentral is "Lysine sequence". It matches the Rfam family "Lysine riboswitch aptamer". From Rfam's summary of the family: Riboswitches are metabolite binding domains within certain messenger RNAs that serve as precision sensors for their corresponding targets. Lineage: Bacteria; Pseudomonadati; Pseudomonadota; Gammaproteobacteria; Vibrionales; Vibrionaceae. The record is from RNAcentral.
UCAAGCAGAAGAGGAGCACUGCCCAGGCAGGUAUUUUGUGGAGCCUCAACUCCAAAACAAAAUACUCAGGGGGAGUAGUGCCGAGACAGUCUAUAGUUGUGGAUUUGGACUGUCGGGUGAAUGGGCUGAAUCCCUUCAACUGUCAUCAGUGCUAAACUGGUGGAGAGCUUCUGAGGUC